RNAcentral lists this ribosomal RNA (243 nucleotides) under uncultured Actinomycetales bacterium. RNAcentral's name for it is "partial 16S ribosomal RNA". It matches the Rfam family "Bacterial small subunit ribosomal RNA", at positions 88 to 334 of the family's 1533-position model. The record is from RNAcentral. Lineage: Bacteria; Bacillati; Actinomycetota; Actinomycetes; Actinomycetales.
UACUCGAGUGGCGAACGGGUGAGUAACACGUGGGUGAUCUGCCCUGCACUCUGGGAUAAGCCUGGGAAACUGGGUCUAAUACCGGAUAGGACCAUGCCUUAGUGUGUGUGGUGGAAAGUUUUUUCGGUGUAGGAUGAGCCCGCGGCCUAUCAGCUUGUUGGUGGGGUAAUGGCCUACCAAGGCGGCGACGGGUAGCCGGACUGAGAGGUUGGUCGGCCACAUUGGGACUGAGAUACGGCCCAG